RNAcentral lists this ribosomal RNA (661 nucleotides) under Acanthamoeba genotype T4. RNAcentral describes it as "SSU rRNA". It matches the Rfam family "Eukaryotic small subunit ribosomal RNA", at positions 427 to 949 of the family's 1831-position model. The record is from RNAcentral. Lineage: Eukaryota; Discosea; Longamoebia; Acanthamoebidae.
AGCAGGCGCGCAAAUUACCCAAUCCCGACACGGGGAGGUAGUGACAAUAAAUAACAAUACAGGCGCUCGAUAAGAGUCUUGUAAUUGGAAUGAGUACAAUUUAAACCCCUUAACGAGUAACAAUUGGAGGGCAAGUCUGGUGCCAGCAGCCGCGGUAAUUCCAGCUCCAAUAGCGUAUAUUAAAGUUGUUGCAGUUAAAAAGCUCGUAGUUGGAUCUAGGGACGCGCAUUUCAAGCGCCCGUGUCGUCGGGUCAAACCGGCGACUGCGUUGGCGUUGCGGGCUCGGUCCGUCGGUGCCACUAAAAGCACUGGCGUGUCAACCGGCCCGCCCGUCCCCUCCUUCUGGAUUCCCGUUCCUGCUAUUGAGUUAGUGGGGACGUCACAGGGGGCUCAUCGUCGUCAUGCAAAUGGCGGCGGUGGGUCCCUGGGGCCCAGAUCGUUUACCGUGAAAAAAUUAGAGUGUUCAAAGCAGGCAGAUCCAAUUCUCUGCCACCGAAUACAUUAGCAUGGGAUAAUGGAAUAGGACCCUGUCCUCCUAUUUUCAGUUGGUUUUGGCAGCGCGAGGACUAGGGUAAUGAUUAAUAGGGAUAGUUGGGGGCAUUAAAUAUUUAAUUGUCAGAGGUGAAAUUCUUGGGAUUUAUGAAAGAUUAACUUCUGCGAA